This 376-nucleotide ribosomal RNA is filed under the name uncultured Negativicutes bacterium. RNAcentral's name for it is "bacterial SSU rRNA". It matches the Rfam family "Bacterial small subunit ribosomal RNA", at positions 9 to 404 of the family's 1533-position model. Lineage: Bacteria; Bacillati; Bacillota; Negativicutes. The record is from RNAcentral.
GAGUUUGAUCGUGGCUCAGGACAAACGCUGGCGGCGUGCGUAAACAUGCAAGUCGCACGGGAGCUUCGGCUCCAGUGGCAGACGGCUGAGUAACGCGUAGGGAUCUACCUGCUAGUGGGGAAUAACGGCCCGAAAGGGUCGCUAAUACCGCAUACGACCAGCCGCAAGGCUGAGGAAAGCCGCAAGGCGCUGGCAGAGGAACCUGCGUCCGAUUAGCUGGUUGGUGGGGUAACGGCCUACCAAGGCGACGAUCGGUAGCUGGUCUGAGAGGAUGACCAGCCAGACUGGGACUGGGACACGGCCCAGACUCCUACGGGAGGCAGCAGUUAGGAAUUUUGGGCAAUGGCCGCAAGGCUGACCCAGCAACGCCGCGGGG